Molecule: ribosomal RNA, 497 nt
Filed under: uncultured bacterium
Lineage: Bacteria
Description: partial 16S ribosomal RNA
Rfam family: Bacterial small subunit ribosomal RNA
Source: RNAcentral
GAUGAACGCUGGCGGCGUGCCUAAUACAUGCAAGUCGAGCGAACAGACGAGGAGCUUGCUCCUCUGACGUUAGCGGCGGACGGGUGAGUAACACGUGGAUAACCUACCUAUAAGACUGGGAUAACUUCGGGAAAUCGGAGCUAAUACCGGAUAAUAUAUUGAACCGCAUGGUUCAAUAGUGAAAGACGGUUUUGCUGUCACUUAUAGAUGGAUCCGCGCCGCAUUAGCUAGUUGGUAAGGUAACGGCUUACCAAGGCAACGAUGCGUAGCCGACCUGAGAGGGUGAUCGGCCACACUGGAACUGAGACACGGUCCAGACUCCUACGGGAGGCAGCAGUAGGGAAUCUUCCGCAAUGGGCGAAAGCUUGACGGAGCAACGCCGCGUGAGUGAUGAAGGUCUUCGGAUCGUAAAACUCUGUUAUUAGGGAAGAACAAAUGUGUAAGUAACUAUGCACGUCUUGACGGUACCUAAUCAGAAAGCAACGGCUAACUACGUG